This 253-nucleotide ribosomal RNA is filed under the name uncultured bacterium. Its description in RNAcentral is "partial 16S ribosomal RNA". It matches the Rfam family "Bacterial small subunit ribosomal RNA", at positions 524 to 776 of the family's 1533-position model. The record is from RNAcentral.
UACGUAGGUGGCAAGCGUUGUCCGGAUUUAUUGGGUUUAAAGGGUGCGUAGGCGGUCUUAUAAGUCAGUGGUGAAAUACGGCAGCUCAACUGUCGAGGUGCCAUUGAUACUGUAGGACUUGAGUACAGACGAGGUAGGCGGAAUUGACGGUGCAGCGGUGAAAUGCUUAGAUAUCGUCAAGAACACCGAUAGCGAAGGCAGCUUACUAGGCUGUAACUGACGCUGAGGCACGAAAGUGUGGGGAUCAAACAGG